Patiria miniata (bat star) is the source of this 2890-nucleotide long non-coding RNA. RefSeq lists it as uncharacterized. The transcript has 3 exons. The record is from RefSeq and is a predicted model, not a curated record. NCBI's taxonomy places the organism in Eukaryota, Metazoa, Echinodermata, Asteroidea, Valvatida, Asterinidae.
AGUGCCAUCUUGUAUGUCUGUGAAUCAAUCUGAUGCGAAUUUAACAUUAAGUUUGGUUACAGCCGUGGCUUAUUUCUUCUCUUGUGUUCAGUUUCUAGGAUUGUACUUAACAUUAGGUUACAUAGACUUCCACUUGUGGCCGGCCGGGUGAUCCAAAGUACCAUGGCUGCAGCAGAACCACGUUUAGAUGACAGAACUCUGAAUGAGGUCGCGAAGAAACUUGGUUCUGAUUGGGUAACACUGGCAAUUGAGCUGGGCUUCACGACGAUAGAGGUUCGGAAUAUCGAGAAAAAAUACCCAAACGAAAUCAUAAGGCAAGGUCUUGAAAUGCUUGUAACAUGGAAACAGGCCCAGUCCACCGGUGUUGCACAACAAAUUACCACGUUGUGCACAGCAUUGACGAACAUCGGACGAGCAGAUGUCACCAAGAUUCUGGGUCGGAUCUGACCCAGGACUUAUAAGAGUGUAAUGGGAUGACAAACCACAAUACAUUAUGUACCAGGUGAACAGAUUUGACCUGACAUUAUUUUCGUGUUGACAUAGACUAUUCUCACAAAUUUUCAUAACGCAUACAAUGCGCAGAGACCUGUUUUUGCAAUUUAUGCAAGUAAACUGUCUUUAAUUCCUCUUCGCAUUACCCAUGCAAUGACCAAAGACAUACAUGCAUGUAUUAAACGCUCAGAAAUCCGGCAAGAUUUGACCAGACUCUCUUUGGGGUCAAAAUGAUACUUUUGUCGGUCAAACAACAAUUGCCUGGGGUCAAAUGACCGGGAAGGCAACAAUUAAGUGUAUUUUUUUAUUCGAAAAAAUGUCAGGCCAAAAUUGACCCAGGACUUAAAAGAGUGUAUGUGAUUUGCCAAAUGUGAAUCUGGAAACAUUUUAAAUUGACAAAGUAUUGACAACUUCAAAUUGUGCGCGUAUGUAUGAGAACAUCACUGAUUUGAAAACCUAUAGUGGAUGUAUGGCACUCGUUGAUUUCUUAUCAAACACUGAGGCCGUCAAACACUGACGCUCGUGCAGAGUUUGGUGUUAAGACAACUUUUAAAAACUGCAAGCGAAACAAUAAGUUAAGCACUGUUUUUAGGAUAUACAAUCCUUAGAAAAUGGUACCACAUGUGGAAAAAGAAUCUGCUGACAUAUUUCGAUGCAAAUCAGGUGUGAUUUCAAAUGCAGGUGCACAAACUGUUGAAAAUUUUACUAUUAUUUCCAAAAGUGUUUGAAAAAAAAUUAACAAAAGAGAAUAAAUUGUUCAAGAACAGAUUAUGUUAUAUUCACCUGUUUUUCCUUAAUAUCUGUUAUCACACGUACGUACUCUUUCAAGUAGCAGAAUAAUUCUCUUUUUUUGUUGUUGUUGCAAGUAAAUAACUAACGUAGUGGACUUAUGGACUGCAUUCUAGUUCCAUGUUUUUAACUACAGUUGUUUCCACAGUGCCAACACUUUGUGUCAAUCGUAUUCCGUUGUAUUGCAUUGUACUUUAAUAAUUUCUUUUAGAAAGCAACUGGAAUAUGAAACCAUUAUUUACAACGCAUAUUAAGCGAUCCCGAACCAUGAAAACAAAGAAAAUACAAUCUAAAUCUCAAUGACACGAAGGAAAUAUUGAUCUGCGUUGAAUUUUUACUUUAUGUCAUUAAAGUUACAAUGUCUCAUCAACAAACAAGGCUUCACCUUUAUUUCAUAAUUAUCCGAUUGAAUUGUAUUUAAACAUAGGGAGUAUUGACUUAGUAUAGUUUAUAUCACAUGUAUACUUGGCCUAUUUCUAAGUACACUUCAAAGUGCAAACGGAAAAGGUCGCAGCUUUUUUAUUCCUUAAUUUAAUUUUCAUUUCCUGAUCCAGAGAUCUGAGAAUUUCUCACGAGGAAAGACAUAAAAUCGAUAUUGUAUCGAAAACCACUUUAAUUUGUUGUCGGAUAAGAAUGGAAUAAUUUGUAGUCCUUUUGACACUCUUGCUAGCUGAUAAGUCAUUCACUAGACUUACCAGAGUGCGCAUGUAAACAAGAAUUGUCACUAGCUGGCCAAGCCAAUUGUUUCUUUUUAUACUAGCCUAACCCUUUUAUUCAAUUGAGCACCGUGACACAUUGAGUACAAUUCAUGUAUUUAACUUGGGCUCUCCAAAAGCACGUCACUGGAUUAAAAAGGACUUGCCGUAAAUUAUUUGCAUAAAUUACUUACCUUGCAUUUCAAGUGCCAGUAGUAUAGGUAUAAAAACCUGAGCACACAUUUGCACAUUGAGAACCUACAGCUGGUAACUGAUAGGAGAGACAUAUCUCUCUGAGAUGUGUUUCUUUCAGUUUUUGAUCUGCCAACACGGCUUGAACUUGUGACUCAAGGUCCGUCGUUAACCUAUUGGUGUCGUACAUUUUCUUUUACGUGCAGUUAUGUGCCCUUUGCCCUAUUUCAGCCGUGCUUGUUCGUUUUACUGUACAUUAUGAUUUUGUUUAAUGAUUAACGAUUGUAAUUAUGAUUGUAUUUUGGUAGUUAAACUGUGAUAAUGUAAUAGUUUGCAUGGUUUGCUUUCUGUGCAUGUGGCUUUUUUGUUUUAAUGAGUGCUUUUUGGGAGAGUUCGAUUGCUAAUCGGCGAGGGGUUGUUUUGUCCCCUUCCAGGAAAAGUUUUAGGAAAAGAGUGAUUUGCUACUUGAUGGGCCAGUAAGCACAGGAAGUAAAUCUCUCAACUGCAAGUUUAAAAUGAAACUGCAACACAUUUUAAUGAUCGUGGUUGGGCUGUUCGCCCAAAAUUUAAACUUUAUUACCGAAACAAUCUUAUUUUUCUCCUGGACUCCUGUUAUUGUCUGUUAUUUAGUUUGUUUCCAUUUAAUCCGUAAAGCCAAAUUUGUUGCAAAUAUAAAAUAAUAAUAAUUUCAGUAUUUUUAAUUAAAGGCCACAAGAAAGUGA